AUUGAACGCUGGCGGCAUGCUUUACACAUGCAAGUCGGACGGCAGCACAGAGAAGCUUGCUUCUUGGGUGGCGAGUGGCGAACGGGUGAGUAAUAUAUCGGAACGUACCGAGUAAUGGGGGAUAACUAAUCGAAAGAUUAGCUAAUACCGCAUAUUCUCUGAGGAGGAAAGCAGGGGACCUUCGGGCCUUGCGUUAUUCGAGCGGCCGAUAUCUGAUUAGCUAGUUGGUGGGGUAAAGGCCUACCAAGGCGACGAUCAGUAGCGGGUCUGAGAGGAUGAUCCGCCACACUGGGACUGAGACACGGCCCAGACUCCUACGGGAGGCAGCAGUGGGGAAUUUUGGACAAUGGGCGCAAGCCUGAUCCAGCCAUGCCGCGUGUCUGAAGAAGGCCUUCGGGUUGUAAAGGACUUUUGUCAGGGAAGAAAAGGCUGUUGCUAAUACCGACAGCUGAUGACGGUACCUGAAGAAUAAGCACCGGCUAACUACGUGCCAGCAGCCGCGGUAAUACGUAGGGUGCGAGCGUUAAUCGGAAUUACUGGGCGUAAAGCGAGCGCAGACGGUUACUUAAGCAGGAUGUGAAAUCCCCGGGCUCAACCUGGGAACUGCGUUCUGGACUGGGUGACUAGAGUGUGUCAGAGGGAGGUAGAAUUCCACGUGUAGCAGUGAAAUGCGUAGAGAUGUGGAGGAAUACCGAUGGCGAAGGCAGCCUCCUGGGAUAACACUGACGUUCAUGCUCGAAAGCGUGGGUAGCAAACAGG
Molecule: ribosomal RNA, 759 nt
Filed under: Neisseria subflava
Lineage: Bacteria; Pseudomonadati; Pseudomonadota; Betaproteobacteria; Neisseriales; Neisseriaceae
Description: bacterial SSU rRNA
Rfam family: Bacterial small subunit ribosomal RNA
Source: RNAcentral